RNAcentral lists this non-coding RNA (21 nucleotides) under Caenorhabditis elegans. The record is from RNAcentral. Lineage: Eukaryota; Metazoa; Nematoda; Chromadorea; Rhabditida; Rhabditidae.
UGACUCGAUAGAUUGCUCACU